UACGUAGGGGGCAAGCGUUGUUCGGAUUUAUUGGGCGUAAAGGGCAUGUAGGCGGUUGUAUAAGUGUGGAUUUAAAGACGUAGGCUUAACCUACUGUAUGGUCUGCAAACUGUAUAACUAGAGUUCAGAAGGGGAAACUGGAAUUCCACGUGUAGGGGUGAAAUCUGUAGGGAUGUGGAAGAAUACCUGUGGCGAAGGCGAGCUUCUGGUCUGAUACUGACGCUGAAAUGCGAAAGUGCGGGGAGCAAACAGG
Molecule: ribosomal RNA, 253 nt
Filed under: uncultured bacterium
Lineage: Bacteria
Description: partial 16S ribosomal RNA
Rfam family: Bacterial small subunit ribosomal RNA
Source: RNAcentral